This 514-nucleotide ribosomal RNA is filed under the name uncultured bacterium. RNAcentral's name for it is "bacterial SSU rRNA". It matches the Rfam family "Bacterial small subunit ribosomal RNA", at positions 15 to 518 of the family's 1533-position model. The record is from RNAcentral.
GAUUAUGGCUCAGGAUGAACGCUAGCUACAGGCUUAACACAUGCAAGUCGAGGGGCAUCAUGAGAUUAGCUUGCUAAUCUUGAUGGCGACCGGCACACGGGUGAGUAACGCGUAUCCAACCUUCCCCUUAGUAGGGCAUAGCCCGGCGAAAGUCGGAUUAAUACCCUAUGUUGUCAAUAGAGGACAUCUGAAGCUGACUAAAGAUUAAUCGCUAAGGGAUGGGGAUGCGUCUGAUUAGCUUGUUGGCGGGUAACGGCCCACCAAGGCGACGAUCAGUAGGGGUUCUGAGAGGAAGGUCCCCCACACUGGUACUGAGACACGGACCAGACUCCUACGGGAGGCAGCAGUGAGGAAUAUUGGUCAAUGGGCGUAAGCCUGAACCAGCCAAGUAGCGUGCCAGGAUGACGGCCCUAUGGGUUGUAAACUGCUUUUAUGCGGGGAUAAAGUCACCUACGUGUAGGUGUUUGUAGGUACCGCAUGAAUAAGGACCGGCUAAUUCCGUGCCAGCAGCGGC